Molecule: small RNA, 293 nt
Filed under: Arabidopsis thaliana (thale cress)
Lineage: Eukaryota; Viridiplantae; Streptophyta; Magnoliopsida; Brassicales; Brassicaceae
Description: ATSL121480
Source: RNAcentral
CACUUGUUAUGCAUUGAGUUUAAUCGUUAUGCUCUUGUGAUAUGUUUUUUUUGGAAAAUGUGAUGAAUGAUGAUAUUGCGGCUGGCCGAGCUGGCUGGUUAAAGAACUCAACCAGACAGUAAAGUAAAACAGCCGCAUAGAUUAAACGGGAACUUAUAACCAGCUCUUGACUGUCCUAGCAUUGGCGGUGCGGGAUAGAAUCGUUCCUUACAUCAUGGAAUUGAUGCUCUCAUUAUCGGUCAUUGUGUAUUACUUGCUCUGUUAUUUGUUGUGAUCAAAACCUAGCUUCUGUU